Molecule: ribosomal RNA, 462 nt
Filed under: uncultured beta proteobacterium
Lineage: Bacteria; Pseudomonadati; Pseudomonadota; Betaproteobacteria
Description: bacterial SSU rRNA
Rfam family: Bacterial small subunit ribosomal RNA
Source: RNAcentral
GAAAGCAGGGGAUCGUAAGACCUUGCGCUUUUGGAGCGGCCGAUGUCUGAUUAGCUAGUUGGUGGGGUAAUGGCCUACCAAAGCUUCGAUCAGUAGCUGGUCUGAGAGGACGGCCAGCCACACUGGGACUGAGACACGGCCCAGACUCCUACGGGAGGCAGCAGUGGGGAAUUUUGGACAAUGGGCGCAAGCCUGAUCCAGCCAUGCCGCGUGAGUGAAGAAGGCCUUCGGGUUGUAAAGCUCUUUCAGCCGGGAAGAAAAGGCUGCGACUAAUAAUCGCAGUUCAUGACGGUACCGGAAGAAGAAGCACCGGCUAACUACGUGCCAGCAGCCGCGGUAAUACGUAGGGUGCGAGCGUUAAUCGGAAUUACCGGGCGUAAAGGGUGCGCAGGCGGUUUUGUAAGUCAGAUGUGAAAUCCCCGGGCUUAACCUGGGAAUUGCGUUUGAAACUACAAGGCUAGA